RNAcentral lists this long non-coding RNA (1418 nucleotides) under Homo sapiens (human). Its description in RNAcentral is "epigenetically induced MYC interacting lncRNA 1". The record is from RNAcentral. Lineage: Eukaryota; Metazoa; Chordata; Mammalia; Primates; Hominidae.
UGGGGAGGGGCCAGCUGCUGUGUUCAGUCCGCCAUUGCAAACACGAAGCUCUUCCAGAAACGCCCUCACAGACACCCCGGAAGUCACGUACCCACUCUGUAGGUGCCCCGGGGCACAGGCAAGCGGACGAGCCAGUUAUCCCUCAGAGCUCCUGCUGCCUCGCCCGCUUUCUCUCGGAAACGUGAAGUGUGGCCUCAGCUGAAAGUGAGGUGGGCCUCAUUCAAUCAGUUGAAUUCUUCAAGAGAGAAAAACUGAAGUCCCUUAGAAGGAAAGAGUUCUGCCUUCAGACUGUCUUUGAACUUAAGACUGUAGCGUCGACUCCUGCCGGAAUUUCCAGCCUGCUGGCCAGCUCUGCAGAUUCACACUUGCCAGCCUCCACAAUCGCAGCUGAGGCGGAGGAACCCUAAGGGCUCAUUGAGAUCAUGGAUUUGCCCUUCUAUGCAUUGAUGGAGCACCUGCUGCCCACAGCGUCUGUAUUUGGUGCUGGGAUGCUGAGCCUCCUUCUUUAUGAAUUUUUAAAAGGACACUGAGAUCUUCAAACAGAGGCUGCCACUCUAAGCAAACAGAUCCCGAGCCCUGGACUCUGAAGCUUGGGCCCAGUUCUCCUUUUCUCCGGGUUUCAGAUCCCACUGUGAAGUGAGGGGGCCCUUCUGAUUCAGGACCCGGGGAAGCCAGGGGCAUGAGCAUCGGUGCCUCUUCUCUAUUUCAAGGACCCUUCUGGGUGUAAAGUUCUCUGAGAUGCCUUACAUGGAUUCCCACCACUGCAAGAUAACCAUCGUAUGUAAAGUGUUAUGACCAGCAGAGCGUAAUUGAAGUGCAUUCCAGAGGGAAAGACAGCGGCUCAGAUUCUAUUGAAAGAAACAUGACAUAAUGAUACCACAGCAAAAGCCAAUCUUGCUCCUUUUUAAAAAAUUAAAAACAAAACAAAACAAAAUUAAAAAACAAGAAAAAACACCACCAUAGGAUGUCCACCCUGGGAGACUAAUUCUAAGAGAGAAGCUCUGUUCUUCCACUGCUAAUCACUCCAAAUAAAUACCACGACUGAGCUUGUCGGAGAAGAGAGAGCAGCAACAGCCUUGCCCACAGGUCUUCUCAUCUGCAUGAGAACAAAGUGGAUGGCUCAGAAAGACAGAGACACUCUUCCAUCCAAUAUGAAAUCCCAUCAGAAGUGUAGAGAGGCCUCCAGCUGCAUCCACCUCCAGGCCCCACCCAGCCUCCUGUCCUGAGCCGCUUUGGAUGAGAUCAGGGGCUCAUGAGCCAUGCAAAGCCAGCCCGGCAUUCCUGCCCAGAACAGCCAUGCUUGCAUGUUUCUGUACAUUUCGUCCAUGGUCUUCUUGUCCACAAGUCUUAGCCGGCCUAUUUCCCUUCUCCAGAAACAUAAACAUGGUAUUUGUAAUUUUAUUAUCACCAAGGUUGCA